RNAcentral lists this ribosomal RNA (655 nucleotides) under uncultured fungus. RNAcentral's name for it is "eukaryotic LSU rRNA". The stretch from base 225 to 378 matches the Rfam family "5.8S ribosomal RNA". The record is from RNAcentral. Lineage: Eukaryota; Fungi.
AGUAAAAGUCGUAACAAGGUUUCCGUAGGUGAACCUGCGGAAGUAUCAUUAAUGAAUUGAAAGGGAGUUGAUGCUGGCUAGGUCUCCUGGCAUGUGCUCGCUCCCGACAAUCUUAUCCAUACACCUGUGCACACUGUGAGGGCGUGAAAGCGCCCUUAUUUUAACAUACACCUUAUAUAGUAAUCGCACGUGAUCUGCGUCUUCUGGCGCUUAAAUGAAAAUACAACUUUUAACAACGGAUCUCUUGGCUCUCGCAUCGAUGAAGAACGCAGCGAAAUGCGAUAAGUAAUGUGAAUUGCAGAAUUCAGUGAAUCAUCGAAUCUUUGAACGCACCUUGCGCUCCUUGGUAUUCCGAGGAGCACGCCUGUUCGAGUGUCGUGAAACUCUCAAGCCUGAUGCUUUAUUGUAUCAGCUUGGUUAUUGGACUCUGCUGUCUCCUUCUCUGGAACGGCUGGUCUCAAAUGAAUUAGCUGGCCCUUGUUGUGGGACUUGGUUCUACUCAGCGUGAUAAUCUAUGACCGCUGAGGACAUCUCUCGGGAUGGCCAGACCUGCCUAGGACUGCUUCUAACUCAUCAUUUUCAUGAUAUUUUUCAACUUUGACCUCGAAUCAGGUGGGACUACCCGCUGAACUUAAGCAUAUCAAUAAGCGGAGGA